This 1193-nucleotide long non-coding RNA is filed under the name Homo sapiens (human). RNAcentral describes it as "HSALNT0226232". The record is from RNAcentral. Lineage: Eukaryota; Metazoa; Chordata; Mammalia; Primates; Hominidae.
GCGGAACAAGGAUCCCAUCUUGCACGUGCUGCGGCAGUACCUGGAUCCGGCCCAGCGUGGCGUCCGCGUCCUCGAGGUGGCCUCGGGCUCCGGCCAGCACGCAGCGCACUUCGCGCGGGCCUUCCCCCUGGCCGAGUGGCAGCCGUCGGACGUGGACCAGCGCUGCCUGGACAGGUGCGGCCCCCGGGGCGGCCACUUCUAUCGGUGCGGCGGUCCGGGGCCUCAAGAGCCCACGGCCCGCAGCCCCGGAGGAAAAGGAUGCGGCUCGGGCUCUGAGGGUGCGGGGUGGGAGCCUGGGGGUGCCCCCGGGGCAGGCCCUAGCUGUGCGGCCCCCGCGGCUGCGGAAGUGGGUGGACCUCGGGGUCCCCCUUCCCAGCCGCUUUGGUCUCCGCUCCUCAACGUGCCCCCCAGCCUCCCCUAAGAAAUUCUGUGGGGGCGUCGGAAAGGCGGGUGCACAGGACUCGGCCCCCACCCAAGCGUUCGCCUCCUGCAGCAUCGCGGCCACCACGCAAGCCCAGGGCCUGACCAACGUGAAGGCCCCGCUACACCUGGACGUGACGUGGGGCUGGGAGCACUGGGGCGGGAUCCUGCCACAGUCGCUGGACCUGUUGCUCUGCAUCAACAUGGCCCAUGUCAGCCCCCUGCGCUGCACGGAGGGGCUCUUCAGAGCAGCAGGACACCUGCUCAAACCCAGGGCCCUGCUCAUCACCUACGGGGGAGGGGGUGCCCUUUCAUUCUCCAAACCCCAGCCUGCAAGUCUGUCCCAGGCUCUCUGGGAAAUACCCCGACCUUGGUCCAGUGGGCUGUGUCCCCAUGCCCACAGCCCUAUGCCAUCAAUGGGAAGAUCUCCCCCCAGAGCAACGUGGACUUUGACCUGAUGCUCAGAUGCAGGUCAGAGCUAGAGGCGGGGGGUCUGGCUCAGGUGGCAGGUGGCUUGGGUGGCACCCCCCAGGCCAUGACUCCAUCUCCCCACCCUCUGCAGGAACCCAGAAUGGGGGCUUCGGGACACAGCCCUCCUGGAGGACCUGGGAAAGGCCAGUGGCCUGCUCCUGGAGAGGAUGGUGGACAUGCCAGCCAACAACAAAUGCCUGAUCUUCCGGAAAAACUAAGCCCCUCCUUCACCCCCGCACACCUGCAUCCCUGCCGGAGGCUCUGUGAGGCACGAACCCUGCCUCCCUAGGCCGGACCUUGUG